CAGUAGCCGCGGUAAUACGUAGGUGGCAAGCGUUGUCCGGAAUUAUUGGGCGUAAAGGGCUCGCAGGCGGUUUCUUAAGUCUGAUGUGAAAGCCCCCGGCUCAACCGGGGAGGGUCAUUGGAAACUGGGAGACUUGAGUGCAGAAGAGGAGAGCGGAAUUCCAUGUGUAGCGGUGAAAUGCGUAGAUAUAUGGAGGAACACCGGUGGCGAAGGCGGGUCUCUGGGCCGUUACUGACGCUGAGGAGCGAAAGCGUGGGGAGCGAACAGGAUUAGAUACCCGUGUAGUCCCUGUCUCUUAUAA
Molecule: ribosomal RNA, 301 nt
Filed under: uncultured bacterium
Lineage: Bacteria
Description: partial 16S ribosomal RNA
Rfam family: Bacterial small subunit ribosomal RNA
Source: RNAcentral